RNAcentral lists this ribosomal RNA (478 nucleotides) under uncultured bacterium. RNAcentral's name for it is "partial 16S ribosomal RNA". It matches the Rfam family "Bacterial small subunit ribosomal RNA", at positions 28 to 507 of the family's 1533-position model. The record is from RNAcentral.
GAUGAACACUAGCGGCAGGCCUAACACAUGCAAGUCGAGGGAGAAGCCCUUUCGGGGGCAGAAACCGGCGCACGGGUGCGUAACGCGUAUGCAACCUACCUUUCACAGGGGGAUAGCCCGAAGAAAUUUGGAUUAAUACCCCAUAAUAUUAUUGGACGGCAUCAUUUGAUAAUUAAAACUGCGGUGGUGAAAGAUGGGCAUGCGUCCUAUUAGCUAGUUGGAGUGGUAACGGCACCCCAAGGCUACGAUAGGUAGGGGUCCUGAGAGGGAGAUCCCCCACACUGGUACUGAGACAGGGACCAGACUCCUACGGGAGGCAGCAGUGAGGAAUAUUGGUCAAUGGUCGGAAGACUGAACCAGCCAUGCCGCGUGCAGGAAGAAUGCCUUAUGGGUUGUAAACUGCUUUUAUAUGGGAAGAAUAAGGUGUACGUGUACAUUGAUGACGGUACCAUAUGAAUAAGCAUCGGCUAACUCCGUG